CCUACGGGGGGCAGCAGUGAGGAAUAUUGGUCAAUGGGCGCGAGCCUGAACCAGCCAAGUCGCGUGAGGGAUGAAGGUUCUAUGGAUCGUAAACCUCUUUUAUAAGGGAAUAAAGUGUGGGACGUGUCCUAUUUUGUAUGUACCUUAUGAAUAAGGAUCGGCUAACUUCGUGCCAGCAGCCGCGGUAAUACGGAGGAUACGAGCGUUAUCCGGAUUUAUUGGGUUUAAAGGGUGCGUAGGCGGCCUUUUAAGUCAGCGGUGAAAGUCUGUGGCUCAACCAUAGAAUUGCGUUUGAAACUGGGGAGCUUGAGUAUGUUAGAGGCAGGCGGAAUGCGAGGUGUAGCGGUGAAAUGCUUAGAGAUCACGCAGAACCCCGGUUGCGAAGGCAGCCUGCCAAGCCAUGACUGACGCUGAUGCACGAAAGCGUGGGGAUCAAACAGGAUUAGAUACCCGGGUAGUC
This 460-nucleotide ribosomal RNA is filed under the name uncultured bacterium. RNAcentral's name for it is "partial 16S ribosomal RNA". It matches the Rfam family "Bacterial small subunit ribosomal RNA", at positions 338 to 795 of the family's 1533-position model. The record is from RNAcentral.